This 554-nucleotide ribosomal RNA is filed under the name Listeria monocytogenes. Its description in RNAcentral is "partial 23S ribosomal RNA". It matches the Rfam family "Bacterial large subunit ribosomal RNA", at positions 1105 to 1657 of the family's 2925-position model. The record is from RNAcentral. Lineage: Bacteria; Bacillati; Bacillota; Bacilli; Caryophanales; Listeriaceae.
CUUAGAAGCAGCCACCAUUUAAAGAGUGCGUAAUAGCUCACUAGUCGAGUGACCCUGCGCCGAAAAUGUACCGGGGCUAAAUAGUUUACCGAAGCUGUGGAGUGCACCAUCAGGUGCAUUGGUAGGAGAGCGUUCUAAGGGCGUUGAAGGCAGAUCGUGAGGACUGCUGGAGCGCUUAGAAGUGAGAAUGCCGGUAUGAGUAGCGAAAGACAGGUGAGAAUCCUGUCCACCGAAUGACUAAGGUUUCCUGGGGAAGGCUCGUCCGCCCAGGGUUAGUCGGGACCUAAGCCGAGGCCGACAGGCGUAGGCGAUGGACAACAGGUUGAUAUUCCUGUACCCGUUGUUUUUGUUUGAGCAAUGGAGGGACGCAGGAGGCUAAGAAGUGCAGACUGAUGGAUAUGUCUGUUCAAGCAGUAAGUCUUGGUAGGAGUCAAAUGCUUCUACCUAUACGGACAAGCUGUGAUGAGGAGGGAAAUAAUAGUACCGAAGCUUCUGAUGUCACACUGCCAAGAAAAGCUUCUAGUGAGAAAACAACGGCCCGUACCGCAAACCGA